RNAcentral lists this ribosomal RNA (424 nucleotides) under uncultured bacterium. Its description in RNAcentral is "partial 16S ribosomal RNA". It matches the Rfam family "Bacterial small subunit ribosomal RNA", at positions 360 to 776 of the family's 1533-position model. The record is from RNAcentral.
AAUCUUCCACAAUGGGCGAAAGCCUGAUGGAGCAACGCCGCGUUAGUGAAGAAGGUUUUCGGUUCGUAAAACUCUGUUGUAAGGGAAGAAUAAGUACAGUAUUAACUGGCUGUACCUUGACGGUACCUUAUUAUAAAGCCACGGCUAACUACCUUACAGCGACUGCGGUAAUACGUAGGUGGCAAGAGUUGUCCGGAAUUAUUUUGCGUAAAGCGCGCGCAGGCGGUCCUUUAAGUCUGAUGUGAAAGCCCACGGCUCAACCGUGGAGGGUCAUUGGAAACUGGGGGACUUGAGUGCAGAAGAGGAAAGUGGAAUUCCAAGUGUAGCGGUGAAAUGCGUAAAGAUUUGGAGGAACACCAGUGGCGAAGGCGACUUUCUGGUCUGUAACUGACGCUGAGGCGCGAAAGCGUGGGGAGCAAACAGG